UGUGUGUGUGUGUUUCCUUGAACUGAGGGGGAAAAACCCCCGUUUACUUCAAGCUCACGUGUAAUGGAAGUCUAAGUUCAGCUGUUAAAUGGUUUGUUUUUUUGCAAAACAUUUUUGUCCACUGUCAUGAAUUCCUUAGCACUUUUUUUUUUUGUGGUAAAUUAAGCCGCCUAAUUUAGGACUGGUAUCCCUAAUAACGAUGAUAAUUAUAAUUAUGAGAUAGCGAGUCAUAAUUCUGAGAUACUAAGUCGUGAUUUUUAGAUAACAGGUCGACGUUUUCAGUUAAUAGACUUGUAACUCGAAAUGAACACUCGGUAUCUCAGAUGACUUUAAUUAUCUCAUAAUUAUGACUUCGUAUGUCAAAAUGAUUACUGAUGAUCUCAAUGACGAUAGUAUCUUGAAAUGAUGAACUGUCUCUUAAUUAUGACUUAGUAUCUCAAAAUGUUGAAUUAUCUCAACUUUGUGACUUAUAGUAUCACGAAAGUAUGACGUGUUUUUAUUGUGAUUUAGUAUCUCGUGAUGAUGAAUUAUCUCAGUUAUUACAAUAUCUCGUAACGAUGACUCGUCUCACAAUCAUGACUUAAUAUCUCAUUGAUUAACUAUCUCGAUUAUUAAAAUAUCUCAUAAUGAUGAAUUGUCUCAUAAUUAUGGCUUGUUUUAAUGAUGAUUUAGUAUCUCGUGAUGAUGAAUUAUCUCACUUAUUACAAUAUCUCGUGAUGAUGACUCAUCUCAUAAUCAUGACUUAAUAUCUCGUAUUGAUUAUCUCAAUUACUAUAAUAUCUCGUAAUGAUGAAUUAUCUCAUAAUUACAAUAUCAGGUAAUGAUGAAUUAUCUCAUAAUUACAAUAUCAGGUAAUGAUGAAUUAUCUCAUAAUUAUGACUUGUUUUAAUGAUGACAAUAUCUAGUAAUGAUGAAUUCUCAUAAUCAUGACUUACAGUAUAAUGAAACUAUGACUUGUUUUAAUUAUGAUUUAGUAUCUCGUAAUGAUGAAUUCAUCUCAUAAUUAUUACAAUAUCUGGAAAUGAUGAAUUAUCUCAUAAUUUAUGACUUAGUAUCUCAAAACUAUGAGGCAUUACCUAGAAUUUAUAACUUGCUUUCUCGUGAUUUUGACUUUUUUUUUUGUUUUUUUUUUAACUGGAGGAAAUGGGCUUCCAUACACCACAAAACCUUUGGAAAAGUCUAAAGUAACCUGUACUUUUUAUUUAUUUAUUUUUUUUCCUUUACCGCACCGUCGCUCCACCCUCACACCUCUAUCGCUCGGUGUCGGUUCGAGUUCCUGCGUUUAUUCGCGUCUAUUAAACUUUUAUUAAACAUUUAAAAGUGACGUACAUUACGUUCGGCUUCUCGGUUCCGUCGUAUAUGAAGUCGAUAUUUUCAUACCACUUUUUAUACCUGAAAACCUUCAGAGUCAUGAAGUAGACAAAGUAAAAGAAGAGAAGUUAGACAUACUGUAUUUCUCGAAGUUUAACCCAGAAUUCUGGUGUAAAGGUGCGACCGGGUAUGAAUACACUCUCCAGAUUGAUCAGAUAGUACAUCCUAAACGGAUAUGGAUACAGACACGGAAAACUGGCAGAGCGUCGGAAUGCUUUCCAGAAAGUUCUACGUUUAAAUAACGAUAACAAUAAUAAUAAUAAAAAGGCUUUGAGGAUUUUACUUUAAUGUUUAAUCCGGUGCUGGGUGUCAGAUGGGACAAUUUAAUAGUCACGCAGGACGUUGAACGACCCUGACGUCAUUAAGACACUCUUCUUGAUGCGCGACACGACGUGGUGCUCGGACACACCGACUGAACCCGGGAAUUCGCUGAAUCGUGGGUCUUUCCAGACGUGUCUCGUGUUCUUCCUUUCGACGUUUCGCAGCUACCGAGCUAUAAAGCGACAAAAGUUACAAGUUUCUUAUCGGUGCAACAGCAGCAUGAGGUUUCAUGCUCAUAAAUAAAACGCUCAAGGCGGUGUUGUGCACGUUCAGCUGCGUGCAUCAGCAAAUCAUUAACAUUACAGGCGCUAAAUCGAGCGCCGAGAGAGCGGACGAGCCUGCCGAGGAGCACAAGUGUGAGCGACAGCUGAGUCGUCAGCUGUAUAAAGAAUGGCUGAGCUCAGGGAAAGUGCUGAGAAAGCACACACACACACACACACUCUCUCUCUCUAGCUCACUGUAAGGUUUGCUACAUGCACACAGAGCAUUUAUGCAUUCAAGGAAACACUCAGGAAUGACCCCAGGGUCAUGAGCUCUGACCCCCAAGAGGUCGGAGCUGCGUGAUGCUAUCAGGCUGAACAAACACUGUGAGCCACAGGUGCGUGAUGAUAGCAGCCUCCGCAGGCCCACAGAGAAACACAAUGGCACAGGGUUUUUCACGAGACGUCUCGCACCAUGAACAAACAACUCGAGCGUGAGGGAGGAAAACACACCAUUGUCACGUCAGCUCGAGAUAACACACACACACACACACAUACCCAGUCCAAAGACAUGCCCGGCAGGCUGAUUGGCGUGUCUAAAGUGUCCAUAGUGUAUGAAUGUGUGUGAUUGUGCACUGCGAUGGAUUGGCACCUCGUCCAGGGUGUACCCGCCUUGUGCCCCAUGCUCCUUGGACUAGGCUCCAGGUUCCACGUGACCCUGAAGGAUAAGCGGUGUAGAAGACGGAUGGAUAUUAACGCGCUCGUUUCUACCGAAUACGUCAUCGUCGCUCUAGUAAGAGCUCGUUCACAGGGACUUGUACGGCGGACGCUCCACAUAGACGGAUUAAACGCCGCGUGUAAUCGUCGAUACUGUGAAGUUUUCAGUAAUUCAUGGAAGGAGUCUCCGGUGUCAGACUGUUUACAGCUGCCGUGAUGUACGUGAGAACAGGAACCAGCCUUCUCGUGGACGUUCCUCGACGUUAAAUGUGACUAUGAAUGGAGAAAACGCACGACGGGUCAAAUCGCUGUGGUGUAAGAGGAAUAAAACACUUCAGGACCUGCUGUGGUGGGAAACGGCGACUCCCAGCGUGCGGCCUGAUUGGGGUUGACGCGUGACGGCAGCCUGAAAUGUUAACGCAAAAGAAAGCAGGAAGUGAAAAGGGAUCAAAAAGGAAGGAAGGACGGGGAAAAAAGAGAGAGAGAUAUUUAUGUUUUUCUACAUUUGGUUUUCAUUACAAGGAAAACACAUCAUUUGUUUCUCCGCUCGGAAAGGAAGAAAAACAUUGCUUGAUGGAAGACAGACGCACGGUAGGUGUGGGAGAUUUCUAAGCGAGGAUCCACACUGACUGCAGUCUCACUCCAGAUUAGUGCUAAGCUGCGGCGUGUAAAUCCGUCACGGUUAUUCUGGAAGGUCACGUAGUUCAGACUCUUCGCCGAGCUCCUCAUCGAUCACACCCACUGCGUUAUCACCGCACGUAUUAAGCGUAACUGCAUUCUGACCUCACGUGUAAUAAAUCACGGCGAGCUGGAGCGAGGGAAACGCAGACGGCUCGUACACGGACGUGUGUGCUGUGGGGGGGGGUGGGGGGGGACCACACCCAUGCACAGCGUUGAAAUACCCUCUUCAGAGUCGCUGAAGCAUGAUCAGAAAGUUGAUAGAAGUUGCUAGGUGACGUCACGGACUAAUUUACAUAUUCAGCGAUUCGUCUUGAUCAUUUGCAAACUCCAAAUGAGGGACUAUAUGAACAUGAAGAUGUUUUUGAAGACACUUAGAACAGAAGAGAUCAGUGGUGAUCAGCGAUUGGUCGACGGGAACAAAUGUGAUCAGCGAUUGGUCGACAGGAAGAAAUGUGAUCAGCGAUUGGUCGACGGGAACAAAUGUGAUCAGCGAUUGGUCGACAGGAAGAAAUGUGAUCAGCGAUUGGUCGACGGGAACAAAUGUGAUCAGCGAUUGGUCGACAGGAAGAAAUGUGAUCAGCGAUUGGUUGACGGGAACAACAGCCAUCGGUCGACAGGAACAAAUGUGAUCAGCGAUUGGUCGACGGGAAGAACAGCCAUCAGCGAUUGGCCGACGGGAACACUGGCUUUUGACACUGUGAACACUGUGACGUGAGCUGGAGAGCCGUAUCAAGUGCAGGACUCUCGCUGACAUCUGCUCAGUCACUAAAGGUUUGUAAAAAGUCGCCAAAUCUAGAGAUAAAGCCCAUGAACACGGUAGCCGUGGAAACGUGCCAUUAACACACUUUUUCCACAAGCGGGCUUUGGAGAUAAGUCACUUGAACAGCUGCAUGAAUAAAAGACCCAAGUGCAUUCACGCAAAGAAAACGGUGAUGGGAGAAAGAAAGCAAAAAAAAGAGAAAAAAGACAAGAAAAGGAAGGAAAAAGAGUAAGAAACGCACAAGUAAGACAAAGACCAGGAAAGAGAGAGAGAGAGAGAGAGAGAGAGAGAGAGAGAGAGGGAGAGAGAGAGAGAGAGAGAGAGAGGGAGAGAGAGAGAGAGGGAGAGAGAGAGAGAGGGAGAGAGAGAGAGAGGGGGGGGG
This is a long non-coding RNA of Ictalurus punctatus (channel catfish), 4432 nucleotides long. The record is from Ensembl. NCBI's taxonomy places the organism in Eukaryota, Metazoa, Chordata, Actinopteri, Siluriformes, Ictaluridae.